GCGGGACGUGGGGCUGAAGUCCUGCACGCACGAGACGGGCAGCGCAUAGCAGACGUUGUCCUCCAGGAACCGCACGAAGGCGUACAUGGAACCUGGUCCCCAGUACUCCAGUGGCAAAGAGCAGACAGAGCAGAGUGCUGCAGAGGAGGAGGGCUGAAUCUUUGCAUAGAGAUGAAGAAACUUGGAAGCUGAAGUUGAUGCAGCCGUUGGGGAGCUCUCGAGAACUAGGGCGGAAGGGAAACAGGUGGAACCAGCCUGCGUGCCUCCAUUUCCAAGAGGAGCAUGUGGGGGCCAGACCAGGAAGAGCUGCAGCACUUGACAACCCUAAUGCAGGAGGUGUGUGUGCAUGCAGCAGUGGUGAUGUCUGCAUUAUGGCACUCCAGAGGUGCUCUCACAGCACCCUGGGUGGGCUGUGGCACCCUGGUUGAGAACCACUGGUCUAAACCGUGCUGAGAAAUACCCAGUCUCUUCCGAAGCGGAAUCAGCAUAGCCAUAUUUGUGCAAAUGUGGGGUGCAAAUCAAUGAAUUGUGCCCUUCAGCUGGUGGCAGCUUGCAGAGUACCUCAGCAAAACCAUAACAUUUUUUACUACAGUGCUACCUUGGAGUGAACACAGAAGAGGACCCAAAGAGUGUGCACUGGUGCAGUCUCACCCCCCUCCCUUUGAUUCCUGGUCCACCUAAAGUUUAAAACCAACUGUCUGGCAGUGGGAGCAGCAUUUCUAUUCAGGCAGUAAUGAGCAAGUCAAUUGACUUCACGGCACAUUAUAAUCUACCCAAUUCCUUCUAAACUCUGCAUUCCAUAGGCAUUAGGGCUGUGCAAAGCUUCAGGUGCUGAUUCGAUUCGGAGGAGAUUUGGCCCAAUUCAGCAGCCAAAUCUCCCAAUCUGAAUUGAAUAAGGGGACUAAUUAAAAGGUCUGAUUAGAUUUGAAGCUCUUUGAAUUGAUUCGGAAAAGAUUGGGAGAGCUUUGGCAAUUCGGGCAGUUCCUGCUCGCUGUAACAGGGAGCUGCACCUGGACUCAAUGCUGGUAAAUAGGGGGCAGGGGAGUGGGGGGCUGAAGGAGACAGGGGAUGGGGUCCCAUCCCCUGCCUGCUCCCCCAGGCCCCCUGAGUGCUCCCUGACCCCCGCCCACUCUCCCAGCCCCAUGGCUGCCCUGCCUGCCCCAGCUCUCAAUUGUUUAGAAAAAAGCCCCCACUCACCUGCUGCUGGCAGGCGGGCGAUCUCCGCUGACCCCCACUGCCCCAUGCCACGUGGGGGGACUCUGCCACAAGCUCCCUGACCACCGACCACUCUCCCAGCCCCCACAUGACCUCCCUGCCCGCCCCAGCUCCCAGCCCACAUUCACCGGCUGCUGCAGCGGCCUUGGGGUUUUGGGGGCUUGUGGCAGAGCCCCUCACACAGUGCAGGGUAGUGGGGGCAGCAGAGACAACCCCCCUGUGCCUGGCAGGAGCCGGUGAG
Long non-coding RNA from Alligator mississippiensis (American alligator), 1456 nucleotides. RefSeq lists it as uncharacterized. Lineage: Eukaryota; Metazoa; Chordata; Crocodylia; Alligatoridae. The record is from RefSeq and is a predicted model, not a curated record. The transcript has 3 exons.